AGAACGCUGAAGAGAGGAGCUUGCUCUUCUUGGAUGAGUUGCGAACGGGUGAGUAACGCGUAGGUAACCUGCCUUGUAGCGGGGGAUAACUAUUGGAAACGAUAGCUAAUACCGCAUAACAAUGGGUGACACAUGUCAUUUAUUUGAAAGGGGCAAUUGCUCCACUACAAGAUGGACCUGCGUUGUAUUAGCUAGUAGGUGAGGUAACGGCUCACCUAGGCGACGAUACAUAGCCGACCUGAGAGGGUGAUCGGCCACACUGGGACUGAGACACGGCCCAGACUCCUACGGGAGGCAGCAGUAGGGAAUCUUCGGCAAUGGGGGCAACCCUGACCGAGCAACGCCGCGUGAGUGAAGAAGGUUUUCGGAUCGUAAAGCUCUGUUGUAAGUCAAGAACGAGUGUGAGAGUGGAAAGUUCACACUGUGACGGUAGCUUACCAGAAAGGGACGGCUAACUACGUGCCAGCAGCCGCGGUAAUACGUAGGUCCCGAGCGUUGUCCGGAUUUAUUGGGCGUAAAGCGAGCGCAGGCGGUUUGAUAAGUCUGAAGUUAAAGGCUGUGGCUCAACCAUAGUUCGCUUUGGAAACUGUCAAACUUGAGUGCAGAAGGGGAGAGUGGAAUUCCAUGUGUAGCGGUGAAAUGCGUAGAUAUAUGGAGGAACACCGGUGGCGAAAGCGGCUCUCUGGUCU
Molecule: ribosomal RNA, 689 nt
Filed under: uncultured Bacilli bacterium
Lineage: Bacteria; Bacillati; Bacillota; Bacilli
Description: bacterial SSU rRNA
Rfam family: Bacterial small subunit ribosomal RNA
Source: RNAcentral